UGUUGGUGAGCUCCAAUUUACUUCGGAGCUUUCCGAGUCGGUUCCUUAUGUUUUGUUAUUGUACAUGAGUCAUAUGUGGGCGGGGGUUUGUCCCGACCCUAGUUAUGUCAUGUAUAUCCUAGAGGCUUUGUAGACAUAAGGAAGGGUAAAGUCAUGGAAGUUUAUAUAGUGAUGUUAUAUUUGUAUAUGUGGUGGCCCC
Molecule: long non-coding RNA, 199 nt
Filed under: Capsicum annuum
Lineage: Eukaryota; Viridiplantae; Streptophyta; Magnoliopsida; Solanales; Solanaceae
Description: long non-coding RNA (CANN_LNC014062)
Source: RNAcentral